This 1616-nucleotide ribosomal RNA is filed under the name Citrobacter amalonaticus. Its description in RNAcentral is "partial 23S ribosomal RNA". Lineage: Bacteria; Pseudomonadati; Pseudomonadota; Gammaproteobacteria; Enterobacterales; Enterobacteriaceae. The record is from RNAcentral.
GUUGGGUAGGGGAGCGUUCUGUAAGCCUGUGAAGGUGUAUCGUGAGGUAUGCUGGAGGUAUCAGAAGUGCGAAUGCUGACAUAAGUAACGAUAAAGCGGGUGAAAAGCCCGCUCGCCGGAAGACCAAGGGUUCCUGUCCAACGUUAAUCGGGGCAGGGUGAGUCGACCCCUAAGGCGAGGCCGAAAGGCGUAGUCGAUGGGAAACAGGUUAAUAUUCCUGUACUUGGUGUUACUGCGAAGGGGGGACGGAGAAGGCUAUGUUGGCCGGGCGACGGUUGUCCCGGUUUAAGCGUGUAGGUGUGUGUUCCAGGUAAAUCCGGUUCACUUUAACACUGAGGCGUGAUGACGAGGCACUACGGUGCUGAAGYAACAAAUGCCCUGCUUCCAGGAAAAGCCUCUAAGCAUCAGGUAACAUCAAAUCGUACCCCAAACCGACACAGGUGGUCAGGUAGAGAAUACCAAGGCGCUUGAGAGAACUCGGGUGAAGGAACUAGGCAAAAUGGUGCCGUAACUUCGGGAGAAGGCACGCUGAUAGGUAGGUGAAGCGAUUUACUCGUGGAGCUGAAAUCAGUCGAAGAUACCAGCUGGCUGCAACUGUUUAUUAAAAACACAGCACUGUGCAAACACGAAAGUGGACGUAUACGGUGUGACGCCUGCCCGGUGCCGGAAGGUUAAUUGAUGGGGUUAUCCGUAAGGAGAAGCUCUUGAUCGAAGCCCCGGUAAACGGCGGCCGUAACUAUAACGGUCCUAAGGUAGCGAAAUUCCUUGUCGGGUAAGUUCCGACCUGCACGAAUGGCGUAAUGAUGGCCAGGCUGUCUCCACCCGAGACUCAGUGAAAUUGAACUCGCUGUGAAGAUGCAGUGUACCCGCGGCAAGACGGAAAGACCCCGUGAACCUUUACUAUAGCUUGACACUGAACACUGGUCCUUGAUGUGUAGGAUAGGUGGGAGGCUUUGAAGCGCGGACGCCAGUUCGUGUGGAGCCRUCCUUGAAAUACCACCCUUUAAUGGCUGGUGUUCUAACGUAGGCCCGUAAUCCGGGUUGCGGACAGUGUCUGGUGGGUAGUUUGACUGGGGCGGUCUCCUCCUAAAGAGUAACGGAGGAGCACGAAGGUUAGCUAAUCCUGGUCGGACAUCAGGAGGUUAGUGCAAAGGCAUAAGCUAGCUUGACUGCGAGCGUGACGGCGCGAGCAGGUGCGAAAGCAGGUCUUAGUGAUCCGGUGGUUCUGAAUGGAAGGGCCAUCGCUCAACGGAUAAAAGGUACUCCGGGGAUAACAGGCUGAUACCGCCCAAGAGUUCAUAUCGACGGCGGUGUUUGGCACCUCGAUGUCGGCUCAUCACAUCCUGGGGCUGAAGUAGGUCCCAAGGGUAUGGCUGUUCGCCAUUUAAAGUGGUACGCGAGCUGGGUUUAGAACGUCGUGAGACAGUUCGGUCCCUAUCUGCCGUGGGCGCUGGAGAAUUGAGGGGGGCUGCUCCUAGUACGAGAGGACCGGAGUGGACGCAUCACUGGUGUUCGGGUUGUCAUGCCAAUGGCACUGCCCGGUAGCUAAAUGCGGAAGAGAUAAGUGCUGAAAGCAUCUAAGCACGAAACUUGCCCCGAGAUGAGUUCUCCCUGAC